UACGGAGGGUGCGAGCGUUGUCCGGAUUUAUUGGGUUUAAAGGGUGCGUAGGUGGCUUAAUAAGUCAGUGGUGAAAUACAGCCGCUCAACGGUUGAGGUGCCAUUGAUACUGCUAAGCUUGAAACAAGUGGAGGUUGCCGGAAUGGAUGGUGUAGCGGUGAAAUGCAUAGAUAUCAUCCAGAACACCGAUUGCGAAGGCAGGUGACUACGUUUGAUUUGACACUGAGGCACGAAAGCAUGGGGAGCAAACAGG
RNAcentral lists this ribosomal RNA (253 nucleotides) under uncultured bacterium. RNAcentral describes it as "partial 16S ribosomal RNA". It matches the Rfam family "Bacterial small subunit ribosomal RNA", at positions 524 to 776 of the family's 1533-position model. The record is from RNAcentral.